UACGUAGGGGGCAAGCGUUGUCCGGAAUUAUUGGGCGUAAAGAGCGUGUAGGCGGUCCGGUAAGUCAGCUGUGAAAGUCAAGGGCUCAACCCUUGAAUGCCGGUUGAUACUGUCGGGCUAGAGUCCGGAAGAGGCGAGUGGAAUUCCCGGUGUAGCGGUGAAAUGCGCAGAUAUCAGGAAGAACACCCGUGGCGAAGGCGGUUCUCUGGGACGGUACUGACGCUGAGACGCGAAAGCGUGGGGAGCGAACAGG
RNAcentral lists this ribosomal RNA (253 nucleotides) under uncultured bacterium. RNAcentral's name for it is "partial 16S ribosomal RNA". It matches the Rfam family "Bacterial small subunit ribosomal RNA", at positions 524 to 776 of the family's 1533-position model. The record is from RNAcentral.